RNAcentral lists this transfer RNA (68 nucleotides) under Silvatares holzenthali. RNAcentral describes it as "tRNA-Ile". The record is from RNAcentral. Lineage: Eukaryota; Metazoa; Arthropoda; Insecta; Trichoptera; Pisuliidae.
AAUAAAGUGCCUGAAUCCUAAGGAUUAUUUUGAUAGAAUAAAUUAUGUAAAUAUUAUUACCUUUAUUA